GACGAACGCUGGCGGCGUGCUUAACACAUGCAAGUCGAACGCUGAAGCUCAGCUUUUGUUGGGUGGAUGAGUGGCGAACGGGUGAGUAACACGUGAGUAACCUGCCUCCUUCUUUGGGAUAACGCCCGGAAACGGGUGCUAAUACUGGAUAUUCACUGGUCUUCGCAUGGGGGUUGGUGGAAAGGGUUUUUCUGGUGGGGGAUGGGCUCGCGGCCUAUCAGCUUGUUGGUGGGGUGAUGGCCUACCAAGGCUUUGACGGGUAGCCAGCCUGAGAGGGUGACCGGUCACAGUGGGACGGAGAUACGGCCCAGACUCCGACGGGGGGCAGCAGUGGGGAAUAUUGCAGAAUGGGCGAAAGCCUGAUGCAGCGACGCCGCGUGAGGGAUGGAGGCCUUCGGGUUGUGAACCUCUUUCGCUCAUGGUCAAGCCGCAACAAUGGUUGUGGUGAGGGUAGUGGGUAAAGAAGCGCCGGCUAACUACGUG
Molecule: ribosomal RNA, 483 nt
Filed under: uncultured bacterium
Lineage: Bacteria
Description: partial 16S ribosomal RNA
Rfam family: Bacterial small subunit ribosomal RNA
Source: RNAcentral